This 351-nucleotide ribosomal RNA is filed under the name Triticum aestivum (bread wheat). RNAcentral describes it as "partial small subunit ribosomal RNA". Lineage: Eukaryota; Viridiplantae; Streptophyta; Magnoliopsida; Poales; Poaceae. The record is from RNAcentral.
AUGAUCUGGCAUGUACAGAAUGAAAACUUCAUUCUCGAUUCUACGAGAAUUUUUAUGAAAGCGUUUCAUUUGCUUCUCUUCAAUGAAAGUUUCAUUUUCCCAGAAUGUAUCCUAAUUUUUGGCCUAAUUCUUCUUCUGAUGAUCGAUUCAACCUCUGAUCAAAAAGAUAGACCUUGGUUCUAUUUCAUCUCUUCAACAAGUUUAGUAAUAAGCAUAACGGCCCUAUUGUUCCGAUGUGAGACAAUUGAAAAUUGUGUUUACUUGUUCUGGAAUCCUUUAUCUUUGAUUUGUGAAAUCCUUGGGUUUAGACAUUACUUCGGGAAUUCCUAUUUUUUUCUUUCAAAAGAGUAG